Molecule: ribosomal RNA, 454 nt
Filed under: [Candida] sp.
Lineage: Eukaryota; Fungi; Ascomycota; Saccharomycetes; Saccharomycetales
Description: Candida sp. (in: Saccharomycetales) partial large subunit ribosomal RNA
Rfam family: Eukaryotic large subunit ribosomal RNA
Source: RNAcentral
UCUAGCACUUUCAGUGUUCGAGUUGUAAUUUGAAGAAGGUAACUUUGGAAUUGGCUCUUGUCUAUGUUCCUUGGAACAGGACGUCACAGAGGGUGAGAAUCCCGUGCGAUGAGAUGUCCAAUUCUAUGUAAAGUGCUUUCGAAGAGUCGAGUUGUUUGGGAAUGCAGCUCUAAGUGGGUGGUAAAUUCCAUCUAAAGCUAAAUAUUGGCGAGAGACCGAUAGCGAACAAGUACAGUGAUGGAAAGAUGAAAAGAACUUUGAAAAGAGAGUGAAAAAGUACGUGAAAUUGUUGAAAGGGAAGGGCUUGAGAUCAGACUUGGUAUUUUGUGUUCCUUAUCCUUCUUGGAUUAGGUUCCUCACAGCUUACCGGGCCAGCAUCGGUUUGGAUGGCAGGAUAAUGACAUUGGAAUGUAGCUUUGCUUCGGUGAAGUGUUAUAGACUUUGUUGAUACUGC